Molecule: ribosomal RNA, 497 nt
Filed under: uncultured bacterium
Lineage: Bacteria
Description: partial 16S ribosomal RNA
Rfam family: Bacterial small subunit ribosomal RNA
Source: RNAcentral
GAUGAACGCUGGCGGCGUGCCUAAUACAUGCAAGUCGAGCGAACGGACGAGAAGCUUGCUUCUCUGAUGUUAGCGGCGGACGGGUGAGUAACACGUGGAUAACCUACCUAUAAGACUGGGAUAACUUCGGGAAACCGGAGCUAAUACCGGAUAAUAUUUUGAACCGCAUGGUUCAAAAGUGAAAGACGGUCUUGCUGUCACUUAUAGAUGGAUCCGCGCUGCAUUAGCUAGUUGGUAAGGUAACGGCUUACCGAGGCAACGAUGCAUAGCCGACCUGAGAGGGUGAUCGGCCACACUGGAACUGAGACACGGUCCAGACUCCUACGGGAGGCAGCAGUAGGGAACCUUCCGCAAUGGGCGAAAGCCUGACGGAGCAACGCCGCGUGAGUGAUGAAGGUCUUCGGAUCGUAAAACUCUGUUAUUAGGGAAGAACAUAUGUGUAAGUAACUGUGCACAUCUUGACGGUACCUAAUCAGAAAGCCACGGCUAACUACGUG